RNAcentral lists this ribosomal RNA (425 nucleotides) under uncultured bacterium. RNAcentral describes it as "partial 16S ribosomal RNA". It matches the Rfam family "Bacterial small subunit ribosomal RNA", at positions 354 to 796 of the family's 1533-position model. The record is from RNAcentral.
GUGGGGAAUAUUGGACAAUGGGCGCAAGCCUGAUCCAGCCAUGCCGCGUGAGUGAUGAAGGCCUUAGGGUUGUAAAGCUCUUUCAGUGGGGACGAUAAUGACGGUACCCACAGAAGAAGCCCCGGCUAACUCCGUGCCAGCAGCCGCGGUAAUACGGAGGGGGCUAGCGUUGUUCGGAAUUACUGGGCGUAAAGCGCACGUAGGCGGAUCGGAAAGUUGGGGGUGAAAUCCCAGGGCUCAACCCUGGAACUGCCUUCAAAACUAUCGGUCUGGAGUCCGAGAGAGGUGAGUGGAAUUCCGAGUGUAGAGGUGAAAUUCGUAGAUAUUCGGAGGAACACCAGUGGCGAAGGCGGCUCACUGGCUCGGUACUGACGCUGAGGUGCGAAAGCGUGGGGAGCAAACAGGAUUAGAAACCCGUGUAGUCC